GACGAACGCUGGCGGCGUGCCUAAUACAUGCAAGUUGAGCGAUGAAGAUUGGUGCUUGCACCAAUUUGAAGAGCAGCGAACGGGUGAGUAACGCGUGGGGAAUCUGCCUUUGAGCGGGGGACAACAUUUGGAAACGAAUGCUAAUACCGCAUAACAACUUUAAACAUAAGUUUUAAGUUUGAAAGAUGCAAUUGCAUCACUCAAAGAUGAUCCCGCGUUGUAUUAGCUAGUUGGUGAGGUAAAGGCUCACCAAGGCGAUGAUACAUAGCCGACCUGAGAGGGUGAUCGGCCACAUUGGGACUGGGACACGGCCCAAACUCCUACGGGAGGCAGCAGUAGGGAAUCUUCGGCAAUAGACGAAAGUCUGACCGAGCAACGCCGCGUGAGUGAAGAAGGUUUUCGGAUCGUAAAACUCUGUUGGUAGAGAAGAACGUUGGUGAGAGUGGAAAGCUCAUCAAGUGACGGUAACUACACAGAAAGGAACGGCUAACUACGUG
RNAcentral lists this ribosomal RNA (497 nucleotides) under uncultured bacterium. RNAcentral's name for it is "partial 16S ribosomal RNA". It matches the Rfam family "Bacterial small subunit ribosomal RNA", at positions 28 to 507 of the family's 1533-position model. The record is from RNAcentral.